UGGAUUUAAUAAUAAUAAACUACAAUAAAUAUAAUACAGAUGACAUUAUAAUUUCGAAGUUUAGGUCAGCAUUUUAUGAAAAUUAAUACACUGAGAUUUAGUUCACCAUAAGUUUAACACCCAUGAUAUUUGUUGUGUAUGGACCAAAUUGGAGGCACUGAACGAAUGGAUUUCAAAGGAUAUCCUAUUUAUUUGAAUCAUUGAAGAAUAAAAAUACAAAGUAAUUGCACUACAAUUAUAAUCGCUCAUGAGAUAACGAGUAAAUUUUAUCAAGUUCCAGCAGGUAAUCGAUAUUCAAAAGCUUUGCGUUUUGUUCUACUCUCAUUCAUAUUUUUAAAAGUCUCCGUGAUUAAAUCAACAUUCGACAGAGCGAAAUAACAGAGCCUAUAGUCCAUACAGUACCUUAUCUUAUAACGGUCUAAUUGAAAAAAAACCAGCACAGUGGGGUCGCGGCAUAGUAGAGACGUUGCAUAAUUGGGUCCAG
Long non-coding RNA from Daktulosphaira vitifoliae (grape phylloxera), 484 nucleotides. RefSeq lists it as uncharacterized. Lineage: Eukaryota; Metazoa; Arthropoda; Insecta; Hemiptera; Phylloxeridae. The record is from RefSeq and is a predicted model, not a curated record. The transcript is spliced from 3 exons.